AUUGAACGCUGGCGGCAGGCCUAACACAUGCAAGUCGAGCGAGCGUCGGACGGGUGAGUAAUGUAUGGGGACUGCCCGAUAGAGGGGGAUCACUACUGGAAACGGUGGCUAAUACCGCAUACUAUCGGAUAACCCAUAUGGGAUUAGCUAGUAGGUGGGGUAAAGGCUAACCUAGGCGACGAUCUCUAGCUGGUCUGAGAGGAUGAUCAGCCACACUGGGAUUGAGACACGGCCCAGACUACUACGGAGGCAGCAGUGGGGAAUAUUGCACAAUGGGCGCAAGCCUGAUGCAGCCAUGCCGCGUGUAUGAAGAAGGCCUUAGGGUUGUAAAGUACUUUCAGCGGGGAGGCGUUACCAGCAGAAGAAGCACCGGCUAACUCCGUGCCAGCCGCCGCGGUAAUUC
This 403-nucleotide ribosomal RNA is filed under the name uncultured bacterium. Its description in RNAcentral is "partial 16S ribosomal RNA". It matches the Rfam family "Bacterial small subunit ribosomal RNA", at positions 30 to 526 of the family's 1533-position model. The record is from RNAcentral.